AGCAAAUGCUGCGAUCUUCCUAUCAACACAAUUGUAGGAAGCAUCUUUCUCUAUAAUUCAGAGUUGUGGACAUAGACUGUGGACAUUAAAUGCAGAACUGACUCUUUCCGAUGACAUUAUGGAGUCAGAGAUGCCUGAGAUGGCUCAGUCAGUUCGGAGUUCCUGAGAUAGCGAUAGCAGAAAGUUUUCAUUAUGGCAUCAAGGUCACCAUGGUUAAUCCAUGAGAUUAUAUGCAACUCAGCUUUCGAAAACAUAAUGAAAAUCAAUUUUAUUUUUUCCUAUUAUUAUAUAGAGACAUACUACUGUCAUUAAAACUACUACUACUAAUAAUAAUAUUAUCCAUAAUGAGAAUUUAAUCUUUUAUUUCCAGAGUGAACAAAAGUUAUCUGAGGUUUUAGAAGUUAAUAGGAAGCUAAACCAGAAGCUCAUAGAUUCUGAAAAUAGAGCUGCAAAUGCUUCAAAAAAGGUUUCAGAGCAUAUGGCUCGUGAAAGAAGAAUCCUACAA
Anneissia japonica is the source of this 505-nucleotide long non-coding RNA. RefSeq lists it as uncharacterized. The record is from RefSeq and is a predicted model, not a curated record. NCBI's taxonomy places the organism in Eukaryota, Metazoa, Echinodermata, Crinoidea, Comatulida, Comatulidae. The transcript has 2 exons.